GUAACUCUUGCCUGGGCAGUCUUGACCUC
Molecule: non-coding RNA, 29 nt
Filed under: Homo sapiens (human)
Lineage: Eukaryota; Metazoa; Chordata; Mammalia; Primates; Hominidae
Source: RNAcentral